AUCCGGAGAGGGCCAGUUAUGAACCGGGGUCGAAAUCAGACCCUGAGGCACAAAACCAAGUCUCGACGACAACUCCAAGACUCUUUGGCAAAUCGGAGAGUGGAGUUUGAUAUCAGAUUGAAUAGGGUUUCUAUAGGUAUUGGUUUUGGAUGAUUUAGAUCUAUAUUGACUUUUUAAGAGCUUUACAAAGUCAAGGUUUGUUUU
Molecule: long non-coding RNA, 204 nt
Filed under: Physcomitrium patens
Lineage: Eukaryota; Viridiplantae; Streptophyta; Bryopsida; Funariales; Funariaceae
Description: long non-coding RNA (PPAT_LNC011954)
Source: RNAcentral